AUACGUAGGGGGCGAGCGUUGUCCGGAAUGAUUGGGCGUAAAGGGCGCGUAGGCGGCGCGGUAAGUCUGGAGUGAAAGUCCUGCUUUCAAGGUGGGAAUUGCUUUGGAGACUGGUUGGCUUGAGUGCGGAAGAGGUAAGUGGAAUUCCCAGUGUAGCGGUGAAAUGCGUAGAGAUUGGGAGGAACACCAGUGGCGAAGGCGACUUACUGGGCCGUAACUGACGCUGAGGCGCGAAAGCGUGGGGAGCGAACAGGAUUAGAUACCCUGGUAGUCCACGCGGUAAACGAUGAAUGCUAGGUGUAGGGGGUAUCGACCCCUUCUGUGCCGCAGUCAACACAAUAAGCAUUCCGCCUGGGGAGUACGGCCGCAAGGUUGAAACUCAAAGGAAUUGGCGGGG
Molecule: ribosomal RNA, 397 nt
Filed under: uncultured bacterium
Lineage: Bacteria
Description: partial 16S ribosomal RNA
Rfam family: Bacterial small subunit ribosomal RNA
Source: RNAcentral